Molecule: small nuclear RNA, 126 nt
Organism: Antechinus flavipes (yellow-footed antechinus)
Lineage: Eukaryota; Metazoa; Chordata; Mammalia; Dasyuromorphia; Dasyuridae
Source: RefSeq, a predicted model, not a curated record
GUAUUAUAUAAAAGAGUAGGUUAGCAUUACCUUCACUGAGAUUGGAAGAAAGGUUAGUAACUUUUAAUACACACACUUGUGGGUAAGAAUUGCCACCAACUCUGUGGCAUUUAACUAAGUUUUCUU